This 1405-nucleotide long non-coding RNA is filed under the name Anser brachyrhynchus (Pink-footed goose). RNAcentral describes it as "lncRNA (ENSABRG00000005787.1)". Lineage: Eukaryota; Metazoa; Chordata; Aves; Anseriformes; Anatidae. The record is from RNAcentral.
ACUGACUUCAAGAAAAACAUGAUGUGUAAAAAAAAAACAACCUCUAUUGAACAUAUGAGUUUUAAUAUCUAGUAGAACUCUAAAUUUUACUUCCCAGGUUUACUUUUUGGAGGAAUUUUUUUUAACUCUUGAGUUAAAAAUGCCUCUUUAAGGGGCAUAAUUAACACAGCAGAGAAUGAUGACAUUUUACAGAAUACCUUGAAGACUGCAGAAACAGUGGGAUGAAACAUAGAAGUAAAAGUGUAAAGUCAUACAUUCAGGGAUUAAUUUGUACUUCAAGGUGUGGCGCACCUCUUGGAAAUAACAGAAAGGAAGAAAGAGCAGAAUGAACUAUUGAUUAGAGUUUUCUCUAUUGAUUAGAGUUUUCUUUGGGCUGCUAACAUGAUACAGCUGUGAGAAAGGCAAAAGUAAUCAGGAGUGUCAAGUGAGAUACUUAAUUUGAAAAAAAAUGGUUGAGGGAGCCUCUUUCUGAUCAUGCAAUGAUUGAUUGCAACUGAAAUUCUGAUGAAGGAGAAUUAAGCUGUAAUUCUUUUCAGAGAAGAAGCAAACUACUAAUGAUGGUGUAUGUUGCUAUGGCUAAGGUGAGCAAAGUUGCAUAUGUGUGUGCAUCUCUCUCUUGGGAAGCCUCAUGCCUUGCCAUUGUUGUUACUUGGUUGUGGAAGUCCUAGGUAACAGUGCUAUAGCUGGUAUGAGACUGCAAAGAUCACUCAUCCUGAGAGAUCUGAGGAGAGGAAAAGAAUUUGAUUCAUCAAUAAAGAAAUCACAAGAGAACACUGUUAAAUUUUGAUCUCUGUUACUGGUCUCUUGUUGAUAUCGUCAAUUAUACCUUGGACAGCUAGACUCUCAGGAGGAAGCCCAGGGAGAGGGAAGCUGGAAAUACUUCAGUGGCAAGCUGUGCAGGUCAGACUGUUGCAAGAAGUGAUACUAGAGGUGGUAAAUUGGAUUAGUUGGCAAAGAUUACAAAAGGGGGUAAAACAUGCAUAAGAAUUCAAUGAGCUACAUGGAUAUCGUUUGUGUGUGUUCAUAUCAAAUGUGGAUCACAACCAUUUGCCGUGGAGCAGGCAAUGAUCAGUCUGCUCCAAUAUGUGUGUCUUAAGAACAAGCUCUUGCUGGAGCUGCUCUGGGAUAUUUGUUUAUUAUUAUUAUAGCAAAAAAUAGUUUUUGACUUACCAUUUGGCAGGGGUAUGCAACAGGUUAUAUGUCUACAUUCUUUUCAACUGCUACAAUGUCUUUAAGAACACUGGAGAACAGAUUUACUUCUGGUACAUUUUCAUUGGACUGGAUCCUAAGUCUGCCAUAAAGGAAUGUCAACAGUGGAGCUUCAGUAGGAAGCUCCUCUUGUUGUACUUGUUUUCUUGGAGUUUCCCUAGUGAAACAAUGAGUUGGAUUACUUUAAAUAGAGCAU